CUGAGAGAAGGGACAACAGGUUCAAAUUUCGCUAACCGCAAAAUAGCUUCAGCAACUCCAUUUUCUUCAUUUCAGCUUCAGGUGUUGCUAUACUUUGUGCUGGGUAUAUCCAGCUCAAUUGCCAGAGGUUAUUUCCGAAGCUUUGAAACUGAAAGCUAGGGUUUUGGGCAAGAAAGAAGGGCAUGGAGGUCGCGGUCGUUGACGCUGGUUCAAAGCUCCUCAAAGCUGCAUUUGCUAUACCCGAUCAGGCUCCAGCUAUGAUAUUGCACCAGUAAUUGGGGGUCUGUUCAUCACAUCGCCUAAAAAAGAUUUGAGUUUGGAGGCAUUGAUUUAACAAAUUUCUUGGCUCAAGAACUCGGCAAGUCAAAUCUGCUAGUAAGCAUCAGCUUGUCUGAGGUUGAGAAAAUAAAAGAGCAAUACUCAUGUUGUGCUGAAGAUGAAUUAGCUUAUCAAAAGACCUAAGAUUCUUGUGUUGCGGAGGAACAUACCCUUCCUGAUGGACAGGUGAUAACUAUAAGGAGGGAAAGAUAUACUGUUGGUGAAGCUUUAUUCCAGCCAUGUCUAUUGGGUUUAGAGACAUAGAAUUGUUGAACAGCUUUUACGAACUAUUUCAACUGUGUCAUCAGAUAAUCAAGGAGGAAGGUGAUUGAGGCAUAUGCAAGGAGGAAGGCUUUGAAGAAAGGUUUGAGAAGGAAGCUAACCUGACUUCAUCUGCUGUUCAACCCACUCUUGUUAAGCCUCUAGAAUACAUGCCAGAAAAUUUAACCACAUAUUCUGCAUGGCUGGGAGGUGCCAUACUUGCCAAAAUAGUUUUCCCACAAAAUCAGCGUGUAACUGAGGCUGAUUACGAUGAAACUGGACCUUCCAUCGUUCACCAGAAAUGUUUCUGAUGGCAUUCAUCGGCGGUACAAAUACAAUAUCUGCAAAUGUCUAGUCUCUUCACACUAACUUGCAAUGUGACAGGUAGUAGCAGUCCUUGGAUUGACUGUGAGUUCUAUAUUUGUGUGUUAGAAGGGUUGUAGUCAAUUUGUUCAUGUUAUCCUAAAAAGAAGAGAGUAUAUAUCAGUCAAGGCAAGCAUGCUUCUUUCAAUUGCGUCCCUAGGCAUGGAUAGAUGAUUUUAACAAGGCUUGUUGAACAAAAGCAUAUGUUUGGUAUCUGUUGAACGUUGAUCAAGGUUAUUCAGUGUAAAUUUUUUCAGAGAUAAGGUCCUAAAUUUAAAUUUUCCGUUGGGCAAUAA
Prosopis cineraria is the source of this 1238-nucleotide long non-coding RNA. RefSeq lists it as uncharacterized. The transcript is spliced from 5 exons. The record is from RefSeq and is a predicted model, not a curated record. Lineage: Eukaryota; Viridiplantae; Streptophyta; Magnoliopsida; Fabales; Fabaceae.